GAUGAAGAACGUAGCGAAAUGCGAUAAGUAAUGUGAAUUGCAGAAUUCAGUGAAUCAUCGAAUCUUUGAACGCACAUUGCGCCCGCCAGUAUUCUGGCGGGCAUGCCUGUUCGAGCGUCAUUUCAACCCUCAAGACCCCUUCGGGGGACUUGGUGUUGGGGACCGGCACAGGGGCCUGCCUGCUUGUCUUGCAGCGCCCUCGCCGCCCCCGAAAUGAAUUGGCGGCCUCGUCGCGGCCUCCCCUGCGUAGUAGCACAAACCUCGCAACGGGAACGUGACGGCGGCCACUGCCGUAAAACAACCCAAUUUUAUUAGAGUUGACCUCGAAUCAGGUAGGAAUACCCGCUGAACUUAAGCAUAUCAAUAAGGGAGGA
Molecule: unclassified non-coding RNA, 374 nt
Filed under: soil metagenome
Description: partial contains 5.8S ribosomal RNA, internal transcribed spacer 2, and large subunit ribosomal RNA
Rfam family: 5.8S ribosomal RNA (bases 1-120)
Source: RNAcentral